GGAGAGAUGCCUGAGAGGCCGAAAGGAGCAGUUUGCUAAACUGUCGUACGGGUUAAACUGUACCGAGGGUUCGAAUCCCUCUCUCUCCGCGA
This 92-nucleotide transfer RNA is filed under the name Spirochaetota bacterium. RNAcentral's name for it is "Spirochaetes bacterium (hot springs metagenome) tRNA-Ser". It matches the Rfam family "tRNA". From Rfam's summary of the family: Transfer RNA (tRNA) molecules are approximately 80 nucleotides in length. The record is from RNAcentral. Lineage: Bacteria; Pseudomonadati; Spirochaetota.